This 1472-nucleotide ribosomal RNA is filed under the name uncultured fungus. RNAcentral describes it as "eukaryotic LSU rRNA". The stretch from base 804 to 1472 matches the Rfam family "Eukaryotic large subunit ribosomal RNA", at positions 1 to 667 of the family's 3401-position model. Lineage: Eukaryota; Fungi. The record is from RNAcentral.
CUUGGUCAUUUAGAGGAAGUAAAAGUCGUAACAAGGUUUCCGCAGGUGAACCUGCGGAAGGAUCAUUAUCGAUUUUCGAGGAGGAAGAUGGAAAGUCCAAGUCUGUCGCUGGCCCUUGCAAAGGGGCAUGUGCACGUCUUUGCCUUUCGUCGACCUUUCUCAUAAUACACACCUGUGCACCCAUUUGUAGGUCUUCGAAAGGGGAUGCUACGUUUUUCACAUCACAUCUAUCGUAUGUCUACAGAAUGUUAUCAAAGACUGUUGACCAGGCUUUGCCCUGGUUGGCUUGUCGAUAAAUAAAAUAAAAUACAACUUUCAGCAACGGAUCUCUUGGCUCUCGCAUCGAUGAAGAACGCAGCGAAUUGCGAUAAGUAAUGUGAAUUGCAGAUUUCCAGUGAAUCAUCGAAUCUUUGAACGCACCUUGCGCUCCUUGGUAUUCCGAGGAGCAUGCCUGUUUGAGUGUCAUCGAAUUCUCAACCAUGUCUUGAUUGAUUUCAAGCGCAUGGCUUGGAUCUUGGGGGUUGCUGGUGGCCAAUCACAGCCAUCAGCUCUCCUGAAAUGCAUUAGCAAUGGGUUGUCUGGUCUAUUGAUGUGCACGGCCUUUGACGUGAUAAUGAUCGUCGUGGCUGGAGCGUUUUUAAGACCAUGCAUGAAUAGCCUAAGCUUCUAAUAAUGAUAAAGAUAAGAUUUGGAUCCGUUGGUCUUGGAGAAACUGAGCUUUAGUUACUAGUCAGCCGUGAGGCUGGCGAACACAGAGCAAAGAUUUUCUGGACUUGCAUUUCCUUCCUUUUCAUUUCGAAACUUGACCUCAAAUCAGGUAGGACUACCCGCUGAACUUAAGCAUAUCAAUAAGCGGAGGAGAAGAAACUAACAAGGAUUCCCCUAGUAACUGCGAGUGAAGCGGGAUGAGCUCAAAUUUUGAAUCUGGCGGUCUUUGGCCGUCCGAGUUGUAAUCUAGAGAAGCGUCUUCCGCGCUGGACCGUGUACAAGUCUCCUGGAAGGGAGCGUCAUAGAGGGUGAGAAUCCCGUCUUUGCCACGGACUACCAGUGCUAUGUGAUGCGCUCUCGACGAGUCGAGUUGUUUGGGAAUGCAGCUCAAAAUGGGUGGUAAACUCCAUCUAAAGCUAAAUACAGGCGAGAGACCGAUAGCGAACAAGUACCGUGAGGGAAAGAUGAAAAGAACUUUGGAAAGAGAGUUAAACAGUACGUGAAAUUGCUGAAAGGGAAACGCUUGAUGUCAGUCGCGUCGGCUGGGGAUCAACCUUGCUUUUUCGCUGGGUGCAUUUCCUGGUCGAUGGGUCAGCAUCAGUUUCACUCGCCGUACAAUGGCAAAGGGAACGUGGCACUCUUCGGAGUGUGUUAUAGCCUUUCGUCAUAUGCGGUGGUCGGGACUGAGGAACUCGGCACGACUUCGGUCUGUGUCUAGGAUGCUGGCAUAAUGGCCUUAAGCGACCCGUCUUGAAACACGGACC